GUUGUCGCAAUCGCAUUUUGCCCUUAACGAUCAUCACCAAGAGUGGGGAAUUUUGGACAAUGAGCGGAAGCUUGAUCCAGCAAUACCGAGUGAGUGAUGAAGGCUAAUUAGGUUGUAAAGCUCUUUCAUAAGGAGGAAAAUGACAGUACUUAAAAGAAGUUCCGGCUAAUACCCGUGCCAGCAGCCGCAGGGAGCGAAC
This is a ribosomal RNA of Phytophthora infestans T30-4, 199 nucleotides long. It matches the Rfam family "Bacterial small subunit ribosomal RNA", at positions 35 to 539 of the family's 1533-position model. The record is from Rfam. NCBI's taxonomy places the organism in Eukaryota, Oomycota, Peronosporomycetes, Peronosporales, Peronosporaceae.